UCCGGUUGAUCCCGCCGGACCUUACUGCUAUCGGGUUGAGACUAAACCAUGCAAGUCGAGCGUUUUCAAGCUAUGUUGAAAGCGCGGCAUAAGGCUCCGUAACACGUAGUUAACCUACCCUCAGGAUGGAGAUAACCCCUGGGAAACUGGGACUAAUAUCCAAUAAAUGAUUAUGCCUGGAAUGGUUUAUCAUUGAAAGGGCUGAAUACAUGCUUUCAGUAUCACCUGAGGAUGGGACUGCGUCCGAUCAGGUUGUUGGCGGGGUAACGGCCCACCAAGCCUAUAACCGGUACGGGCCCCGAGAGGGGGAGCCCGGAGAUGGAAACUGAGACAAGGUUCCAGGCCCUACGGGGCGCAGCAGGCGCGAAACCUCCACAAUGCGCGAAAGCGUGAUGGGGUUAGCCCGAGUGCUGUCCGAAAAGGAUGGCUUUUCCUUGGCGUAAAAACCCGGGGGAAUAAAGGGGGGGCAAGACUGGUGUCAGCCGCCGCGGUAAUACCAGCCCCCUGAGUGGUAAGGACGAUCAUUUGGCUUAAAGCGUCCGUAGCCGGCUUAGUGAGUCUCUUGUUAAAUCCAAUGAUUCAAUCAUUGAACUGCAAGAGAUACUACUAUGCUAGAGGACGGGAGAGGUCGACGGUAGUCCAAGGGUAGGGGUGAAAUCCUAUAAUCCUUGGAGGACCACCAGUGGCGAAGGCGGUCGACUAGAACGUGCCUGACGGUGAGGGACGAAAGCUGGGGGAGCGAACCGGAUUAGAUACCCGGGUAGUCCCAGCUGUAAACGAUGCGGGCUUGGUGUAGGGGCAGCUACGAGCUGCUCCUGUGCCGCAGAGAAAUUGUUAAGCCCGCCGCCUGGGGAGUACGAUCGCAAGAUUGAAACUUAAAGGAAUUGGCGGGGGAGCACCACAAGGGGUGAAGGC
RNAcentral lists this ribosomal RNA (915 nucleotides) under uncultured archaeon. RNAcentral describes it as "bacterial SSU rRNA". It matches the Rfam family "Archaeal small subunit ribosomal RNA", at positions 1 to 895 of the family's 1478-position model. The record is from RNAcentral.